GUGCUCAAAUUGUAAAAACUAUAAACAUUGUAAUUACAGACGGGCGUAAUUUUUCCUGCCGAGCUCGAAGUUCGAAACAAAAUUGAUUUCGGUUCGUUGCGGUGUCAUAAAUGAAAUCCGGGAAUCGCUUCUACCGUUUUAAUGAUGUAUUACGCUCUGGUGUUCGUGUUUUGUUGCAGUGACAUCGGUGCGAUCGUCUUUAGCCUUCAGUCUUAUCGGCAAAGCAUCGUCCAUCAUUAUCCCAGAGCAAAAUACACUCUUCAACUCUUCUCACUCUUGUUCACUUCGGAAAAGAGAACCGUCGUUCUUACAAUACUGACUGUUGAUUCUCGGUACCACCUACUUUUCCAAUCGUAGUACAAUGUUACUUUUUUGGUAAAAAAUAGUUCAGUCCGCGUAACAACACUUCAUUGUCACCUGGACCAAAAUUGAUUCUUACCAAGAAUAUCAAACUGUAACUACGACUGAAAAAGUAGAUUGGACCUGCGUUUCUCCGAGACCGUCGGAACAGCGUGUGAGACAGGGUGGAACUUCAACACGUGCCAAAGCGACAACAACGGUGGCUGCCACUGAAGUCUGAACAGAGUCAAGAAUGGAUAUACUGCUCAUCGUCCACUCUCGAUGCUGAGCGUUGUCGCUGCAAGCAGGUUAGUAACCCACUCACUUUCAGCUCGCUCUUGUAACUUUGCGCCAAUUUCAGUUUUCUCCGAUUUUUUUAAUCUUUCUCUCUCCCUUUCAGCUCGGAUUCCCUUUCUCUUUCGACGGGCAGGUCCGGUCCCUGCUCGUGCCCUUCGUCGGUUCCAUGUUUGAAAUCCAGCUCGCUCGAAUCCUGCUUUAAUUAAUGGUCUCCGAGUCGCGGGAGUCAUUCGAAGAACCGUGACCUUGACCUUGACCCUUGAUUUGGCUUCGCGUGAUAUGACUUCUUGGAAAAAAAAGUCUGUGAAAUUACACGGAAAGGAAAUGAUCGACGAUGGAACUGCAAGAACACAAAUAUCGAUUUUUUUUUUUUUUUUUUUUUUUUUUUUUUUUUAAGAAGAGGAUUAUUAAUCGCAGUUUCGUACAAAAAUUUUAAAAAUAUUCUCGAAGAGGCAAAAAAAAACUAAAAUAUCCCGAACAUCGAUGAUCAGUUGGACUACAUUAUGCAAUCAGAACUAUAAUCUCUGCCUCACAGUCAGUCUAGAAACAACUUAUGUAAUAUUUGGCUCCCUGUGCCCUUACGUGUUUGCACGAAUGAACCAGAAAUUUAAUUUAUAAUUGUAGUUCCUAAAAAAUCCUUCAAAAAAUUAAAAUAUGAUAAUCAA
This 1301-nucleotide long non-coding RNA is filed under the name Bemisia tabaci. RNAcentral describes it as "lncRNA ENSSSA2NGG011468". The record is from RNAcentral. Lineage: Eukaryota; Metazoa; Arthropoda; Insecta; Hemiptera; Aleyrodidae.